UUUCCUGUGUUUUUUGUGUUUUUAUGGAAAUAUGCGUCUCCAAGUUAGAUGUAAGCUGCGUGUCCAAGAUUGUGUUAACAAGUUUGUAGGUGAUAUUUUCAUAGGUCCGAUAAAAAGAUCGUCCAGAAUGAAGGUUCAGAACGAAGGUCCGAUAAAACGAUCGUCCAGAAUGAAGGUUCAGAACGAAGGUCCGAUAAACGAUCGUCCAGAAUGAAGGUCCGAUAAAAUGAUCGUCCACAACGAAGGUCCGAUAAACGAUCGUCCAGAACGAAGGUCCGAUAAAACGAUCGUCCAGAACGAAGGUCCGAUAAACGAUCGUCCAGAACGAAGGUCCGAUAAA
Pygocentrus nattereri (red-bellied piranha) is the source of this 340-nucleotide long non-coding RNA. RefSeq lists it as uncharacterized. Lineage: Eukaryota; Metazoa; Chordata; Actinopteri; Characiformes; Serrasalmidae. The record is from RefSeq and is a predicted model, not a curated record. The transcript is spliced from 2 exons.